UACGGAGGAUCCGAGCGUUAUCCGGAUUUAUUGGGUUUAAAGGGAGCGUAGGCGGAAUGUCAAGUCAGCGGUCAAAUCGCGGGGCUCAACCUCGCUUCGCCGUUGAAACUGGAAGACUUGAGUGUGUUUGAGGUAGGCGGAAUGCGUGGUGUAGCGGUGAAAUGCAUAGAUAUCACGCAGAACCCCGAUUGCGAAGGCAGCCUGCCAAGCCAUGACUGACGCUGAUGCACGAAAGCGUGGGGAUCAAA
This 248-nucleotide ribosomal RNA is filed under the name uncultured Parabacteroides sp. Its description in RNAcentral is "partial 16S ribosomal RNA". It matches the Rfam family "Bacterial small subunit ribosomal RNA", at positions 524 to 772 of the family's 1533-position model. Lineage: Bacteria; Pseudomonadati; Bacteroidota; Bacteroidia; Bacteroidales; Tannerellaceae. The record is from RNAcentral.